GACGAACGCUGGCGGCGUGCUUAACACAUGCAAGUCGAACGGUGAAGCGUCUUCCUUUUUGGUGGGUGUGGAUGAGUGGCGAACGGGUGAGUAACACGUGAGUAACCUGCCCCCUUCUUCUGGAUAACCGCAUGAAAGUGUGGCUAAUACGGGAUAUUCUGGGUCUGUCGCAUGAUGGGUCUGGGAAAGAUAUUGUUUCGGUGGGUGAUGGGCUCGCGGCCUAUCAGCUUGUUGGUGGGGUGGUGGCCUACCAAGGCGGUGACGCGUAGCCGGCCUGAGAGGGUGGACGGUCACAAGUGGACUGAGAAGCGGCCCAGACUCGUACGGGAGGCAGCAGUGGGGAAUAGUGCAAAAUGGACGCAAGCCUGAUGCAGCGACGCCGAGUGAGGGAUGGAGGCCUUCGGGUUGUCAACCUCUUUCGCCAGUGAAGCAGGCCUGCCUCGUUUGUGGGUGGGUUGACGGUAGCUGGAGAAGAAGCGCCGGCUAACUACGUG
This 494-nucleotide ribosomal RNA is filed under the name uncultured bacterium. Its description in RNAcentral is "partial 16S ribosomal RNA". It matches the Rfam family "Bacterial small subunit ribosomal RNA", at positions 28 to 507 of the family's 1533-position model. The record is from RNAcentral.